This 526-nucleotide ribosomal RNA is filed under the name uncultured eukaryote. RNAcentral describes it as "SSU rRNA". It matches the Rfam family "Eukaryotic small subunit ribosomal RNA", at positions 102 to 630 of the family's 1831-position model. The record is from RNAcentral.
UAAGUCAGUCUAUCGUUUAUUUGAUAGUACCUUACUACAUGGAUAACCGUGGUAAUUCUAGAGCUAAUACAUGCUAAAAACCCCGACUUCGGAAGGGGUGUAUUUAUUAGAUAAAAAACCAAUGCCCUUCGGGGCUCCUUGGUGAAUCAUAAUAACUUAACGGAUCGCAUGGCCUUGCGCCGGCGACGGUUCAUUCAAAUUUCUGCCCUAUCAACUUUCGAUGGUAAGGUAUUGGCUUACCAUGGUUUCAACGGGUAACGGGGAAUUAGGGUUCGAUUCCGGAGAGGGAGCCUGAGAAACGGCUACCACAUCCAAGGAAGGCAGCAGGCGCGCAAAUUACCCAAUCCCGACACGGGGAGGUAGUGACAAUAAAUACUGAUACAGGGCUCUUUUGGGUCUUGUAAUCGGAAUGAGUACAAUUUAAACCCCUUAACGAGGAACAAUUGGAGGGCAAGUCUGGUGCCAGCAGCCGCGGUAAUUCCAGCUCCAAUAGCGUAUAUUAAAGUUGUUGCAGUUAAAAAGCUCG